UGCCAGCAGCCGCGGUAAUACGGGGGGUGCAAACGUUGUUCGGAAUCACUGGGCAUAAAGAGCACGUAGGUGGUCUUCUCAGUCAGGUGUGAAAGCCCCCGGCUCAACCGGGGAACUGCAUCUGAUACUGGAAGACUUGAGAUCGGUAGGGGUAAGCGGAACUCCAGGUGGAGCGGUGAAAUGCGUAGAGAUCUGGAGGAACACCGGUGGCGAAAGCGGCUUACUGGACCGUGUCUGACACUGAGGUUCGAAAGCCAGGGGAGCGAACAGGAUUAGAUA
This 279-nucleotide ribosomal RNA is filed under the name uncultured bacterium. RNAcentral describes it as "partial 16S ribosomal RNA". It matches the Rfam family "Bacterial small subunit ribosomal RNA", at positions 506 to 784 of the family's 1533-position model. The record is from RNAcentral.